Molecule: ribosomal RNA, 375 nt
Filed under: uncultured organism
Description: partial 16S ribosomal RNA
Rfam family: Bacterial small subunit ribosomal RNA
Source: RNAcentral
GGAGGGUCCAAGCGUUGUUCGGAAUCAUUGGGCGUAAAGCGCGUGUAGGCGGUCGGGUAAGUCGGAUGUGAAAGCCCGGGGCUCAACCCCGGAAUUGCACUCGAUACUGCCUGGCUAGAGUCCCGGAGAGGAUGGCGGAAUUCCCGGUGUAGAGGUGAAAUUCGUAGAUAUCGGGAGGAACACCAGUGGCGAAGGCGGCCAUCUGGACGGUGACUGACGCUGAGACGCGAAAGCGUGGGGAGCAAACAGGAUUAGAUACCCUGGUAGUCCACGCCGUAAACGUUGGGUGCUAGACGCUGGGGGUAUUGACCCCCCCCUCGGUGUCGAAGCUAACGCAUUAAGCACCCCCGCCUGGGGAGUACGGUCGCAAGGCUA